AUUGAACGCUGGCGGUAUGCCUAACACAUGCAAGUCGAACGAGGUAGCAAUACCUAGUGGCGGACGGGUGAGGAAUACGUAGGGAUCUGCCCUUAAGUGGGGGAUAACCCGGGGGAAACCCGGAUUAAUACCGCAUGAUCUCGCAAGAGCAAAGAGGGGGACCGCAAGGCCUCUCGCUUUUGGAGGAACCUACGUCGGAUUAGCUAGUUGGUGAGGUAAUGGCUCACCAAGGCGACGAUCCGUAACUGGUCUGAGAGGAUGAUCAGUCACACCGGAACUGAGACACGGUCCGGACUCCUACGGGAGGCAGCAGUGGGAAUAUUGGACAAUGGGCGAAAGCCUGAUCCAGCAAUACCGCGUGUGUGAAGAAGGCC
This 374-nucleotide ribosomal RNA is filed under the name uncultured bacterium. RNAcentral describes it as "bacterial SSU rRNA". It matches the Rfam family "Bacterial small subunit ribosomal RNA", at positions 30 to 416 of the family's 1533-position model. The record is from RNAcentral.